This 723-nucleotide long non-coding RNA is filed under the name Salmo salar (Atlantic salmon). RNAcentral's name for it is "lncRNA (ENSSSAG00000102572.1)". Lineage: Eukaryota; Metazoa; Chordata; Actinopteri; Salmoniformes; Salmonidae. The record is from RNAcentral.
CAGAGAGCAAAUUAGAAUCCAAGGAAGUUGACAUGUCAUCACUUCAUUUUUUUGCGCCUGCGCAUAAAUCUGAGAAACGUGAGUUUUGUCUUCAUUUUUUAUCUAGACAUAGGAUAGGUUGUGUGAAAAUAUUACUGAUGUUUAACGUUAAAAAUGGACCAAAAGAUUAAUGCUAAACAACAUUUGACAUGUUUGAACGAACAUAAAUAGAUUAUUUACUAGGUUUUUUUAGCUUUUCGGCGUGAUUUUACAGUCCCCCCACCACGUUUUGUGGGAGCAUAAUGAACGCUAAGUACUUGGUGUUAUUUGGACAUAAAUUAUGAACUUUGUCAAAAGAAACCACAUUUGUUCCGGACCUGGGAUGCCUUCCGGACCUGGGAUGCCUGCCAUCUGAUGGAGAUAAUCAAAGCCUUGUUAGCAAUCCCGGCUCGGGGUUCAUUGCUAACCUGUAGCCCCAACAGGUUAAUGACUUGGAGAAGAUCUGCAAAGAGGAGUGGGACAAAAUCCCUCCUGAGAUGUGUGCAAACCUGGUGGCCAACUACAAGAAACAUCUGACCUCUGUGAUUGCCAACAAGGGUUUUGCCACCACGUACUAAGUCAUGUUUUGCAGAGGGGUCAAAUACUUAUUUCCCUCAUUAAAAUGCAAAUCAUUUUAUAACAUUUUUGACAUGCGUUUUUCUGGAUUUUUUUGUUGUUAUUCUGUCUCUCACUGUUCAAAUAAAC